AGCGAACGCUGGCGGCAGGCUUAACACAUGCAAGUCGAACGGGCGUAGCAAUACGUCAGUGGCAGACGGGUGAGUAACGCGUGGGAACGUACCUUUUGGUUCGGAACAACACAGGGAAACUUGUGCUAAUACCGGAUAAGCCCUUACGGGGAAAGAUUUAUCGCCGAAAGAUCGGCCCGCGUCUGAUUAGCUAGUUGGUGAGGUAACGGCUCACCAAGGCGACGAUCAGUAGCUGGUCUGAGAGGAUGAUCAGCCACAUUGGGACUGAGACACGGCCCAAACUCCUACGGGAGGCAGCAGUGAGGAAUAUUGGUCAAUGGGCGGAAGCCUGAACCAGCCAUGCCGCGUGCAGGAUGACGGCCCUACGGGUUGUAAACUGCUUUUCCCCGGGGCGAAUAACCCCCUCGCGAGGGGGAGUGCCGGUACCGGGGAAGUAAGGAGUACGGCGUAACUCCGUGCCAGCAGCCGCGGUAAACGUAGACGUG
This 485-nucleotide ribosomal RNA is filed under the name uncultured bacterium. RNAcentral's name for it is "bacterial SSU rRNA". It matches the Rfam family "Bacterial small subunit ribosomal RNA", at positions 29 to 534 of the family's 1533-position model. The record is from RNAcentral.